This 253-nucleotide ribosomal RNA is filed under the name uncultured bacterium. RNAcentral describes it as "partial 16S ribosomal RNA". It matches the Rfam family "Bacterial small subunit ribosomal RNA", at positions 524 to 776 of the family's 1533-position model. The record is from RNAcentral.
UACAGAGGGUGCAAGCGUUGUUCGGAAUUACUGGGCGUAAAGCGUGCGCAGGCGGUUUUGUAAGCCAGAUGUGAAAGCCCCGGGCUUAACCUGGGAAUGGCAUUUGGGACUGCAAGGCUUGAGUGCGGCAGAGGGGGAUGGAAUUCCGCGUGUAGCAGUGAAAUGCGUAGAUAUGCGGAGGAACACCGAUGGCGAAGGCAAUCCCCUGGGCCUGCACUGACGCUCAUGCACGAAAGCGUGGGGAGCAAACAGG